RNAcentral lists this ribosomal RNA (497 nucleotides) under uncultured bacterium. RNAcentral describes it as "partial 16S ribosomal RNA". It matches the Rfam family "Bacterial small subunit ribosomal RNA", at positions 28 to 507 of the family's 1533-position model. The record is from RNAcentral.
GAUGAACGCUGGCGGCGUGCCUAAUACAUGCAAGUCGAGCGAACGGACGAGAAGCUUGCUUCUCUGAUGUUAGCGGCGGACGGGUGAGUAACACGUGGAUAACCUACCUAUAAGACUGGGAUAACUUCGGGAAACCGGAGCUAAUACCGGAUAAUAUUUUGAACCGCAUGGUUCAAAAGUGAAAGACGUUCUUGCUGUCACUUAUAGAUGGAUCCGCGCUGCAUUAGCUAGUUGGUACGGUAACGGCUUACCAAGGCAACGAUGCAUAGCCGAACUGAGAGGGUGAUCGGCCACACUGGAACUGAGACACGGUCCAGACUCCUACGGGAGGCAGCAGUAGGGAAUCUUCCGCAAUGGGCGAAAGCCUGACGGAGCAACGCCGCGUGAGUGAUGAAGGUCUUCGGAUCGUAAAACUCUGUUAGUAGGGAAGAGCAUAUGUGUAAGUAACUGUGCACAUCUUGACGGUACCUAAUCAGAAAGCCACGGCUAACUACGUG